Molecule: ribosomal RNA, 432 nt
Filed under: uncultured bacterium
Lineage: Bacteria
Description: partial 16S ribosomal RNA
Rfam family: Bacterial small subunit ribosomal RNA
Source: RNAcentral
AACGAACGCUGGCGGCAUGCCUAACACAUGCAAGUCGAACGAGACCUUCGGGUCUAGUGGCGCACGGGUGCGUAACGCGUGGGAACCUGCACUUAGGUUCGGAAUAACUCCCCGAAAGGGGUGCUAAUACCGGAUAAUGUCUUCGGACCAAAGAUUUAUCGCCUUUGGAUGGGCCCGCGUUGGAUUAGCUAGUUGGUAGGGUAAAAGCCUACCAAGGCGACGAUCCAUAGCUGGUCUGAGAGGAUGAUCAGCCACACUGGGAGUGAGACACGGCCCAGACUCCUACGGGAGGCAGCAGUGGGGAAUAUUGGACAAUGGGCGAAAGCCUGAGCCAGCAAUGCCGCGUGAGUGAUGAAGGCCUUAGGGUUGUAAAGCUCUUUUACCCGGGAUGAUAAUGACAGUACCGGGAGAAUAAGCUCCGGCUAACUCCGU